Molecule: ribosomal RNA, 492 nt
Filed under: uncultured bacterium
Lineage: Bacteria
Description: partial 16S ribosomal RNA
Rfam family: Bacterial small subunit ribosomal RNA
Source: RNAcentral
AGUGAACGCUGGCGGUAGGCCUAACACAUGCAAGUCGAACGGCAGCACAGUAAGAGCUUGCUCUUACGGGUGGCGAGUGGCGGACGGGUGAGGAAUACAUCGGAAUCUACUUUUUCGUGGGGGAUAACGUAGGGAAACUUACGCUAAUACCGCAUACGACCUACGGGUGAAAGCAGGGGAUCUUCGGACCUUGCGCGAUUGAAUGAGCCGAUGUCGGAUUAGCUGGUUGGCGGGGUAAAGGCCCACCAAGGCGACGAUCCGUAGCUGGUCUGAGAGGAUGAUCAGCCACACUGGAACUGAGACACGGUCCAGACUCCUACGGGAGGCAGCAGUGGGGAAUAUUGGACAAUGGGCGCAAGCCUGAUCCAGCCAUACCGCGUGGGUGAAGAAGGCCUUCGGGUUGUAAAGCCCUUUUGUUGGGAAAGAAAAGCAGCAGGUUAAUACCCCGCUGUUCUGACGGUACCCAAAGAAUAAGCACCGGCCAACUUCGUG